UACGGAGGAUGCGAGCGUUAUCCGGAUUUAUUGGGUUUAAAGGGUGCGCAGGCGGAUCGUUAAGUCAGUGGUCAAAUUGAGGGGCUCAACCCCUUCCCGCCAUUGAAACUGGCGCUCUUGAGUGGAAGAGAAGUAUGCGGAAUGCGUGGUGUAGCGGUGAAAUGCAUAGAUAUCACGCAGAACCCCGAUUGCGAAGGCAGCAUGCCGGCUUCCGACUGACGCUGAAGCACGAAAGCGUGGGGAUCGAACAGG
RNAcentral lists this ribosomal RNA (252 nucleotides) under uncultured bacterium. RNAcentral describes it as "partial 16S ribosomal RNA". It matches the Rfam family "Bacterial small subunit ribosomal RNA", at positions 524 to 776 of the family's 1533-position model. The record is from RNAcentral.